CCUUUUAUUCAUUAUUUAUUUAAAAACCUCUUUUUUACUCAUUCUAAAUUUUAUUAUUUGUUUAUUUAGUAGCCUCCUUUUCAUUCUAAAUUUUACUUAUUUAUUGCAUCUUGAUUGGAGCCUCCUUUUAUGUAUUCAUUUAUUUUCCAACCUAUACACUGUUUGUUUGUAUACCUGUUUAUUAUGUUCUGAUUGUAGCCUCCUUAAUUCACUCCAAACUCUGUUUGUUUGUUUGUUUGUUUGUUUAUUUAUUUAUUUAUUUAUUUAUUGUGUCCAGAUACAUAAGGGCAAACAGGAUAUAUUUAUAUUUAUUUAUUUAUUUAGUAUGUCCUAAAUAGAGUAUUUGUCUACCUCAUGUACUAUAUCUAUUUAAUUAUUUGAUAUCUCCUUAUUGCAGCCGCCUCCUCAUUUAUUUAUUUGUUUUAUUUAUUUAUUUGUUUCCUUUGUAUCCCACUGUACCUCUCUCUGUCAUCUUCUCCUGGGUGUCAUCCCCCCUCCCUCUUCCUCAUCUAUCCCUUCUUCCCUAGUCCACUGAUAGGGCAGGUGUUCCUCACCUACUGUCUCACUAUCAAGUCUUAUCAGGACUGCCUAGAUCCUCUUGCUCUGUGGGCUGGCUAGAUCUCCCCAAGAAGGAGAAGUUUUCAAGGAAGAGGCAACCAAGUUUAUGUAAGAGACUGUCUCUUCUCUUAUUAGGAAACCAACAUUUUAAAUGUCUUUCAUUCAUUCAUUCAUUUUAUUUUUUAAAAUUUAUUUAUUGCAUCCUGAUUGUAGUCUUUUAUUUAUUUUUGUUUAUUUUAAAACUUAUUUAUCUACUUAUUUACAUAGCUACGUAUUUAUUUAUUAUGUCCUGAUUAUAGCAUCCUCCUCUUCAUUUAUUCUAAACUUAUUUAUUAUAUGUUCUGAUUGUAGCCUCCUUUAAUUAAUUCUAAAUUUAUUUACUUACUUAUUUAUUGCAUUGUUGUCACAGCUUCCUUCACAUACAUUAUUUAUUUUAAAACAUUUGUUGCAUACUGUUUGGGGCCUCCUUAUUUACUCAUCUUUAUUUUAAAACUUUACCUUUUUUUAUUAUGUCCUAGUUACAGCCUCCUAUAUUUAUUUAUUUAUUGCAUCCUGAUUGCAGACUCUUUUAUUAUAAAACAUUAUUUACAUAUUGCAGCUUCUUUUAAUUAUUUAGUCUUUAUUUUUAAAAUUAUUUAUUUAAGUUGUUUAUCGAUUAUUCAUCUAUCUAGUUACCUAUCUGUUUUGUCCUGAUUGCAGUUUCCUCUUUUCUUCAUUUUUUCCAAAUUUAUUUAUUUAUGUAUUUAUUCAUUCAUUUAUUUAUGUAUUUAUUGCUUCUGAUAGUAGGCGCCACUGUUUUCUUUAUUCUUAUUUAUUUUAAACUUAUUUACUUACACUUAUUUCUUACACUCAAAAUAUGAGAUAGCAUAUCUAAAAAUAUUUAUUUACAUAUUUAUUUUCAGCCUUUUAUUUAUUCUUAUUUAUAACAUACUUAUUACAUACUGAUUGCGCCCUCCUUUCCCUUAUUUAUUCCUAUUUUAAAAGUAUUUAUUUACUGCCCUAAUUGCUGCAUGCUCCUAUUUUAUUCUAAAUUUUAUUUGCUUAUUUUUUAUUGCAUUCUGAUUGCAGCAUUCUUUUAUUUAUUCGUGAUUAUUUCUACUUAUUUUGUCUUCUAAAUUUAUUUAUGUAUUUAUUGCAUCUUAUUCAUUUUAAAACGUGUUUAUUUAUGUACUUGUUUAUUUACUUGUCUAUUAUUUAUUAUGUCCUGAUUGCAGCCUCUUCUUUUAUUUAUUUUCAUUUUUUUGUUUGUUUAUUAUGUCCUGAUUGCAGCUUCCAGUCCUUUUCCUUCUUAUUUAUUAUAAACUUUUUUACUUAUUUUUAUUACACCACUAAUAGUAUGACAUUGCAUAUCUAAAAAUAUAAGAGGGCAGAAAUUUAUUUACUUUCAUUUAUUUUUACCAUUAUUAAUUUUUUACAUCCUGAUUGUAGUGUCCUUUUCUCUUUUAUUCUUUGUUUUCAAACUUAUUUUUGUCCUGAUUACAGUCUUUGUCCUAUUAUUUAUUUAUUUCAAUCUAUUUAAAAUUAUUUAUUUCAUCUGGAUUGCAACCUCCUUUAUUUUUUUUUUACCCAUUUUCAAAUUCAUUACAUCCUGAUUGCAGCCUCCUCUUUUAUUUGUUUAUUGUGAAAUGUAUUCAUUUAUUACUACUUGUACGAAAUAAAUGCCUCUAUUUAUUUUUAUGUAUUUUACAAAUUAUUUAUUUGGUUGUUUAUUAUAUCCUAUUGCAACCUUUUUUCCUCUCAGGACCUCCUCACUCUUUCCCCAUUAUCCCUUCUUUUCAUAGAAGCUGGAGGUCCCCCAUUGUUACCAACCCACACUGGCACAUUAAAUUACUAUAGGACUAGGUGCAUUCUCACACUGAGGCCAGGCAAGGUUAGUCCAAUUAUUGGAAUAGAUCAAAGGGACAGCUCAGAGUCAGAAAGGGUCUCUGAUCCAAUUAUUGGAGAGUCCAAGUGAAGACCAAGUUGUGCAUCUGCUACAUGUACAGGGUACUUGUACAGUACACACAUGCUCUUUGCUUUGUGAUUCAGUCUCUUAGCUCCAGAGGCCUCAGAUUAGUAUUUCUGUCUAAACAGCAUUUGAUUACUGAAGAAAUAAAAGAAAUUUGAAUACUAAAGAAAUAAUAACUUUGUGUAGAUUGCCUGAGAUUCCUACUUUUGCAAAAAUACCAACUACCUUCAACUACUAUACACACAUGAUAUUACUAUUAAUGUUUAACCAGUCUUUUGGAAGUAUCAAACCCUAUUUAUUUUAUAUUUAAUUUUUAUGAUGAGGUUUAUUUUACCUUGGUUUUGUUUUUAUACAAGUACAGUUUCCUAUGUGCAGGAUUUCACACUAAAUUUUCUUAAUAUAUUUUACUUAAAAUUUAAGAUGUUUUUUUGUGGUAAAAUGUAAUGUUGUAUACGUUUCAACUAUAUGUUUUAAGCAUUUCACUAAUAGAGACUUUGUUAACAUGUUUAUAGAAAAAAAAAGCAAUUUUUGUUUUUAUGUUUAAGACAGUUGUCCAAUAGUAAUUCAGACUUUUGAAUGUUUAUGAGUUGUAGAAAAAGGAAGUGCAUUUUACUGUUAAAAUAUUAUUUGACCUUUAUGUAGGGCUCAUUGUAGUGGUGUGAUAGAGAAAGCCAAAAUACCUGAACAUUGUGUUAACAAAGCCAUCUUUUAUUAUAUGUGUAUAUUUUACCAUACUAUCCAAUCAGAAGUCUUUUAAGCUACUAAGCUAUUUAUGAGUAUAAUUAGUAAAAGCAUGAAAGUAUCUCUAUUAUAAAAAAUAUAUAUGUGAUAUAAAAGGCAUGUAAUUUCACUUUAUUUUUCUAGUCACUAAUAUUUAUGUGAUUUAGAUACCUCAAUUACAUGAUUCUCUAGUCAUCUGAUAUAUAACAAAAAUGUAACUUUGUAAGUAAUGAAGUAUUUUUAUAUCAAACAUCUAAAAUUUCUAGAAGUAUUGAGACUCAAAUUUUAAGCUUUUAAAUGUACUAUGAAUACUAUCUAGUCUUUUACAUUUAAGAUGAUAAAUUGAUACUUUAUAAAGGGAUCAUGGAGUCAAAAUUUUUCUUAGUUGUUAGAAUCCCAGAGAAGAAAGAUAUAAAUACUAUGCAUUUACUCUAUUCUCUUAGAAGAAUAGUUGACCAUUUUGUCAUGUGAGUUGCACAUUAAAAAAAAAAUGACUUGACAGGCAAUUCAGUUGGCUUGUUGAGCACUAAUGAAGUUAUUGAUGCACCUCUUUUAUCUAUGUUUUGUCAAUUUUCAUGAAUACAUUAUGUACUACCUCUUGGAACACUACAAAGCUUUGUAUGUGUUCCCUGGUUGCAUGACAAUAUUCAAGACAACUUUGUAAAUAAUAGGCAAAUAUAAAAUUUUAAUGUCUAGUCUUUCUAGAUAUAUAGCGUGUCAAAGGGUAAAUUUUGUAAAUACAUCAUUGUAAACUUUAAUAGCUUUGUAAAAAAAAAUUUGAGACUUCUCCAUUUUAUGUUGCUUGUUACUUGUUAACUGGUUGGCUAGGAUUAUGAGGCUUUUUAAUUUUUUUAGUUUUUGGAGGUAGCAUUUCUCUUUGUGGCCUUGGCUGUCCUAGAUACUCACUUUGUAGACCAGACUGAUGUCCAACUCACAGAGGUUCAUCUGCCUCUGCCUCCCAAGUGCUAGGAUUACAGGUGUGCACCAUUGUGCUAUGCCCAAUGAGAAUUUUUAAAAGCAUAUUUAAUUUUAACUGAUUUCUUAUCUCAAGAAAAAUAUUCAUUAACCAUAGGGUAGGGUAAGGCUUAUAUUUUACACAGAUAAAUAUUAUUAAGGGCACAAAUUAUAAUUCUGUGAUUGUACUAAAGAAAGACCAUUAUGUAACUAUUUUGUUGUAGACUGUAUAGGAAACAUCUUGAAAUAAUUUCUUAUGCAUCCUUCAAUUAAUAAAAUAUUAUUUACUUUGUAUGACAGCAUUAAAGACAAGUUUAAGUAACUGAUAUAUGUAUACAUAUAACUACUAUAUGUAUAUAUAUAUAAAGCUGAUCUAUAUGUCAGUUUGAAAAAUCCAUUUUUUUUCAGAUGUAAAUAUUACAUUGUAACCUAACAUUAAAAAAAUUAUAUCUUUAAAUGUUUUUUAAAUGCAAUAGAUAAGUAUUGUUUGGGCUAUCAAGUAGAAAACUGCUUAAGCACAGUUUAUCAUGUAGAGAAGAAUUCUCUAAUUCUUUGUAUACUGUUUACAUAAAGAAAAAUUGCUUACUGCAAAUGAGUUUUUUUUUUUUAAUCUUCAUGAAGAAAGAUGGAAGGGAAAAUGAAAAUCUAAAUUAAUGAGAGAACUGCUAAAAUCAUGGUAACUUGAUUAUUUAUCCUCUGUACAUGUAUUUACUUUUAUCUGUAGUUAUAAUCACAUUACAUCUUAUGUUAUAGGAGUAUAUAGAUCACUUAGUAUUCCUCUUUAAUUGUGUAUAUAUUGUUGAUUUAAAUUUGUAUUUCUGCUUUACAAAUUGUAUAAAAUUAGCAUUUUAUUUCUAAUUCAGGUAAUUCUGUAUUCUCAAUGUUAUUAUCAACCACGUUUUGUUGUAAUUACGGAAUGCAUAGUUUGUGUUUUUAUCUAAUCUUUAUUAUAUACAAUAUUAAAACUAGUUAAUUUUUGAAAAAUUUGUAUCUACAACUUUUACAGGUAAAUAUCUAUUGUUUUGUCUAAUAUAUUGUAAGAAAAAAUAACCUGUAUGACAUUAAAGACAAUACAAAUGUUAAUCCCAGAUCCAUACUCAGUUUGAGGUCAGACUUGCCCCAUAUGUCCCUGUGUCAAAAGAAAGUGUGAAAACAAGGAAAAACUGAACACUUCAAUCAAUGUAGAGAACGUAAGGAUUGUAGUUUAAGUUGAAUGUAAUUUAACAGUGAAAUAUCAUUUGUCUACAGAAGGGGGUUUGCUUUAUUUAAUUGAAAAGGGGGACAAUUUGCUUACAUGUAGAUAUAUUUUAUUUCUUAACUAAAAUGGAUAAUUAAGAAAACCCUAAGUAUACAUAUGGAGUAGCAUUCUGACAUUUAUUACUUUUGUAUACAAUGUGUGUUACUUUUCAGUAAUGAUUGAAGAUUUGUUCAAGUGAACUAAACAGUGUAUACAUGCUUGGACUUAUCACAUGAGACCAUCUAGAAUGAACAUUUAAUGCAAACAAAGACCAUCUUCAAGAAGAAUGAUAAAAUGUUAACACUUUUAUCUGCUCUUGUAAUUAUGAGGGGAUUUGCAAAUAAGAGUCUAAGCAAGAAGAAAAUAUGAAAAAGACAAUUUGUACCAAUACCUUUGAUGUCAACAUGGUAGUGCUGGGUUGCCGUAUCCAACUUUGUAUUCUUAGAAGCCCUUAUGAACAGUUUUGAAAAAUUUCUGUGAAGAAUCUUAGACACUCUUGAGUCAGCAAAGAGUAUGGCAAUGACCAAUGGAAGAUAAGUAAAGAUGGAAUUUCAUGCAGCAAGGAGAAAUGGUGUGCCACACUGGGCAGAGCUUGAGCAUAGGAGAUUUCAGAGCCUGCCCCCACAGUGGCAUUAUUGCUCAAAAAAGGCCAAAUCUCCUGUGGACUGCAAUCACACGAGUCUAUGGUGGCCAUUCCUAUUAAAACCGCUAUACAGAAUGCCCUGAGUUCUGUUCCAGUUGCCACAGGUGGUGGCUCACUGCUACCUGCUACUCCAGCCCCAGGGCAGUGUGACACAUCUGGCCUCAGGCACUUGAAUGAAAUGCAUGUGCUCAUGGUGACAGACUUAAUGCACCUAACCUAAGUAGCACUGAAAGAGUGUAAGAAAAGGAUUGCCAGAAAAAAAUAGGUAAUUACUACAUUGGAUAACAGGCAUUUUUUACAACCUUCACAGUGCUCUGAAAAGUCUCAAAAGGUGUGUGGGAAUAGUCUUGCCAGUCAUUAAAAAUGAACUCAGCUAAUUGGAGACAAUCACUUCAUAUUUACAAAGACUUUCUGAUUGUUGUUGGACAAACCCACGAACUAGAGACACUGCUGCAUGGAUAAAAAUUAUAUUGUAGAAUUGAUAUUGGCUUCAUCUCAGUGAAAACUAUCCCCUGUAUGUAGUCAAAUUAUUCCUCAGAGUUGAUGCUUAUAAUUAUUUGUCAAGUUGGACCAAAUGCACUUUUACUUUGAUUUGCAGCACAUUUAAUAGAUUAAGUAGGAGAGAAUAGAUUUCUUUAAAACUGAGCCUUCCUAUACAACCUCAAGGUGGUGAUCAUCUUGACUAACACAUCAAAUGUAUCUUCUGAAGAGUUUCGUCUACAGAGUCUCCUAAGUACAGUUUUACAUUUAUUGUUUCUGCAGUAUUAUUUUGCUUUUAUUAUCUCACAACUUUUAAGAAAGACUGUCAAGGAAUAGAAAUGACCUGCUUUUGGCAAGUAAUUGCUUGGAAUGUUCAGUACUUCUGGUUUCAGUCUAUCUUGUACUCCUAUAUUAUAUGUUGCCAAUUAUCUUUUUUAUUUUACUUUGCAAAUAGAAGAGAGUUUUAUGUAUAGAUGGUAUAGGGAAUGAUACUUCAGAUUGUAACAAAGUUUUCUGAGUGAGUCUCCCUGUAUUCCAGUUUUGUUAUCAUUUGUGAGAUGGAUUCCUCCUGCUUUGAACAAGAAACUCAAAAUUUUAGGCAGGUUGCAAAAAAAAAAAAAGAUUGUCACGUCAUGCAUAUUGGUAUUCUCUAUAGGAAAUUUUCUGGUUGUUGUUUUUGCUGAUAUUACUGGCUUCUAUCUGGUGCAGUAAUAUGAAUCUCUGUGGCUUGCUUUUUCUCCAAUAUCCAGAUUUCAGUGUCAUUUUAACUGUGAGUGUGUAGAGAAUUGUGCUUGCAUUGAUAAGGAGAGCUGAGGUGAUACUAUCUUGUAAAGUGUGUGGCAUAAUAAUUUUAUUGGAAUCACCUUUCAGGUUAGAGUAUCAAUGAGAUUUUAGUUUAUUCCAUAAUAUGGUGUUUUUCUCUUUCUGGUUAAAUUAAGUAAAGUCAAUAUGAAGUACUGUUUAUUUUAUCUACUAGUUGUCUGUUUCUAGACCAUAAGCCAUAUUGUUCAUUAAAAAAGUACUGUCAGCAUUUCUCAACCCAUUUCAAUAACUGUUAAGAGUAAAAAUAAUUGCUAAGAGUUUUUAAAGUGUGUAGGCAUGAAUGCCUGUAUGUGAGUGUGUGCCUGACAGAUGUCUGUAGAGGUCAGAAAUGAAAGUCAGAUCCCCUGGAUCUGAAGUUUCAGGUUAGCCAUGAUCACUCGGCCCCAGAUAUUUUAAGAUUGCAUAAAAAUUCCUUUCUUCGAAGAAUUUUGUCGUUUGCUAACAUUAUUUAAUAGGGGCCAGCAAUAUGAAUCAAUGCAAAAAGGGGUUCUUCAUCCAAUCCUGGCAACUCCUAUUGGAUCACUGUAACCCAGGUUAUAUGUAGGAUAGGAUAUAGCAGUGAACAGACAACUUAAUAAAAUUGUUUUAAGUCUCAUAAAUUUGUAGUACAACCCAUGUGUUGUUACAUAUUAUAUUAUUACAUUUUAUAUUUCCAUUUUAGCUAGAUUCUGAGGUAUAACCUGUGUUCUUUUUAUAAUACUCACUUAUUUUACAUACAGUGGUAUUCUUUUUUAAUUACAAAGUUAAAUUGUUGUAUUUCACUUAAUCUCUUAUGUUAACAUUUUCUGAGUUCAGAUUGAUCAUGACUCUAAUCAGACACAGUAACUGUGUAAUGCAGAAGGUAAUAGAGUUUAUUAGGUUGUGUUGGGGGUCAUAAAACUUUGUGAGUAAGGCUCCAGAUUUACAGAUCAUAUUUUUGCAACUAGGAAUCUGUUCUUGCAGAACAACAGCACCUAUGGCUAUUUCUUAAACUAUGCCCCAUAAAUAGUUGCAGCACACUAAUCAUGGUACAGAAUUGGACUUUAGCAGAUAGUUUUCUAACCUUUAGCCUACUUUAUAGGUGUAGUUUCAUCCACAGGAUCUUUGGAAGAUUUAGAAACAGAAAAUGCACACACACACACACACAAAUGUCUUUCCUUGUAGUAGUUGCUGAAUCCAUUCAGUGGUUCUCAACCUGUGGGUCCAGAUUAUUUUUGGGUGGCAAACAACCUUUUCACAGGGGUAUAUAAGACCAUUGGAGAAUACAGAUAUAUUGCAUUACAUAACAGUUAUGAAGUAGUAAUAAAAAUCAUUUAUUGGUUGGGGAUCACUACAACAUGAAGAUCUGUGUUAAAGUGUCACAGAGUUAGAAAGGUUGAGAACCACUGACCUACACUAUAUUGUUAUAUUUAUUAGUGGGAGAAAUAUUUGUGCUUUUUGAUACUUGGCUCUUAAAAUGUUGUAUUCAUAAAGUUACAUGCCUCAGUGGAUUGAAAUGUUACCAUCAGCAGUGUUUAAAGCAUUUUAUAGUCAUUUAUUCUUAAUCUUCUAUUCUGUUUCAUAGCAGUGAUAAGAGAUAAGCUUUCACGGUAUAUAUAAUAAUAACUUUUAAUGUUUAUAUAAAUGUAUGUGGAGUUUUUAGAUGUAUGAUCUUUGUAUUAAUGCUUUUAAACUGUCUAGUUAAGAUAUCAUGGAGGUUUAAAAAGUUUAUAAAAAUGUGCUUUGCUACUACAUGUGAUGCUGCUGCUGAUGUUGUGUAUAAUUAUAUAAUUAUGUAUAUGAAAAUAUAUUUGAAUUCCUACUUGUUUAAUAAUUUUCCCUGUGUGGUAAUAUUAGAUAAUCAUCUGUAUACACCUUUGGUUGCUGUCAAUAUUGUGAAAUCGCCAUUAAAUGCUUUCUGGGAAAACCAGAGCAGUAGUGUAAUUACAGUGCUAAUUUUCAUAGAUUUGUUCUAGGUGUAAAUGGCCUUUUAUAUAAUAGCCAAUCUAAUAGGUGAAAUAGUACUUUUAAAACUAAGGACUAAUUUUAAUGUUAAAUGGACAUGAUUUUAUGAAAUUAGUUUUUUUAGAUUUAAAAACCACUAAAUGUUUCACAAUUUUUGCAUUUUUCAUAAAUUUCUUGAGUAUAUGCUAUAUUAACAAGUUUUUUCUUUUUUCUUUUGAUAUUAUUUUAGAGCUUUAUGCUUUUUAUCUAGUCUGACAUACUUUCUACAUUCUCUCACUUUUCAUUCCUUUUCCUCUUUCCCUCACUUUUCUUCUCAUGUUAUUUCUUUUUAUACAUGAAUUUAUUUUCUGAACUACGUAUUCAUUUAAGAUAUGGUGUUCAAAUUGCCCAGUAUUUUUCUGCAUGUACUUUAUAAAAGUAUGUGUUCCUUUAAAACUAACAUAAAAUUUAAGAACAUCUGUUUGCUGUGUCCAAUUCUGACAUUCAUUAUAUUAAAUUAUAUAUUAUAUUAUAUUAUAUUAUAUUAUAUUAUAUUAUAUUAUAUUAUAUUACGUUUCCUUCGAAGACUGUUUUCUAAUGAGAGAGAGAAAAAGGUAGUCCCCAUUGGGAAGAAAAGUGGAGAGGAAUUGAGACUAGUAGAGGUAGGGGAAACCGUAUAUAGAAUAUAUUUUGUGAAAUAAAAUGAAGAGAAAUGAAAAUUAAGACUAUCAGAUGCAUCAUCAGUAGCCUAAAAGUAGGCCAUAUGCAUUGUGUCUAUUUAUAUUUCACUAGUUGGUGUAGUCUUUUUAUUUUCUGUGGUAUCAAAUAGUAUUCGCAGUAGGCAUGUCAUUUUUAUAUUAUUUAAUUAGAAUCAAUUAUUUGUCUAUCUUGGUCCUUGGUAGCACUGGUGUUCUUGAGAAAUAGCACCUUUCAGAUUUUGAGAUUCCUUGGCUUCUGAUUUUUUUAUACUUGUGAAAGGAUUGAGGGCACAUAUUUAUCUUGGAUAUAUGUCAGAAUAUAUGUGUGUUGUCUUCAAUAAAUCAUACCAAGUUUAAAUGUUUAUGGUUUCAAUAUAGCUGGUCAUUUAGUUUAAUUGGAAGUGACCACUUUCUUGAAUGCUAAAGUUAAUUCAGAAAACAUUAUAUAGAGAGAUAAAGGGCCACUUGCCAUUAUGUAAAUCUCUUUAUAAUCAAACUUUAACAGUAUCAAUUUAAAUACUCCUGUGUUUUUAUUUUUGUAUACUGGAAGAAAAAAAUGUUGUCAGAUCUUCUCUGAAAGUCUGGUAGAACUCUUUUUUGAAAGAAUCUGAGCCUGGGAUUUUUGCUUCUCUAUCCUUAUCCUUGUUUAUUUCAAGUUUGUUGAUCUGUUGAUCUCUUUUUGGUUUAACUUUGGUGGUUUGGCAAAAUCUAAGAAUUCACUCAGUUGUUUUAGCUUCAGACUUUAGAUUUCUGACAUGAUAAAUUAUGUUUUUUUAAUUUUUUUGUUUUAAACUAAUUAAUUGACUUUACAUCCUAAUUGUAGUCCCCUUCCUCCUCUCCUCACAUUCCCACACUUUCUCCCUUCCCUCCAUUCCCCUACUCCUCGAAAAAUGGGAGCUCCCCAACCCCUCCCAGCACAUCAAGUCACAUCAGGACAGAGUGCAUGCUCUUCCUCUGUGGCCUGGCAAGGUAGCCCAGCCAGGGGGAUAUGAUCAAAUAGCAAACAGCAGAGUCCAUAUCAGAUAAAGCCCUUGCUACCCUUACUAGGGAACCCACAAGAAGACCUUGCUGUUCUUCAGCUACAUAUGUGUAGGUGGCCUGGGUCUAGUCCAUGCAUGAUCCUUGGUUGGUGUUUCUUUGUCUGUGACCCCUGCUAAUAAGAGUCUCAGCUAAAGUCACCCCUCGAUUAUAUGUUUUUAAAGUGUUCCCUCACUGUUUGUUAUAUUUCCCUAUUCAUCUCUGAUUCCAGUUACUUGGGUCAUUUUUUGGUUAAUUGAGCCAAGAGUCUAUCAAAUUAGUUCAUCAAAGUAGAUUAAUUUCAAAGAAUCAGCUAAUUGAUUCUGUAUAUUUGUCCCAUUUCAUUCAUUUCUUGCAAUAUAUUGAAUUCAUGAUUGUCUUGUUUUUGUUUUUCCAAAUUCUUGAACUAUAUUACUAUGUCAUUUAUUUGUACUGUUUUUGUUUUGUUGUUGUUGUUUUUGAGAGAUGGUCUGCUUAUGUUACCUGGUGUUAUGGGAUCUUUCAGAAACGAGGAAACAGCCAGACAGGUUAGCACAUACCUGUAAUCACAGUGUAUGGACAGGAGUAGCAUGAGUUUCAGAUAAACUGCAGCUGAAUAGCAAUAGUAUGUAUUAACCAAUAAAGAAAAACAAAAAAUUAUGAUUAUUAUAUUAGAUAAAACUACUUUUCUCAGUAUAAGAGAGGGAGAGAAAUUCUGAGAGUUUGCUAUUAUAUUAACCCCUUAACAUAACACUUGACUUAUGAAAUUAAAGCUCCAGAUAGUUUGGAGAAACAAUAGUUUGUUUUAAUCAGUAUGAGAUUUUUCUUGUCAUCAUGACAAACAUGAGAUCUAGUGACAGUGAAUAUGAAAGGAGAAAAAGCUGUUUGAAAUAUUACCUUAGAUGCCUUAGCAUGGAGGUAUUGAGAAAUUAAUCAUUCCCUUGUGUAUCUUUAUCAUGUGAGUUUCUACUUGUAUUGUUUUUGUUUGCAUGCAUUGUAAAAUGUAAAGGCCCAAUCCUUAAUCCUUUAGGUUUACUCAUUAAAAACAAAAAAAAUGUGGUAUGCUUGAAUAUAAACUAAGAAUGAAACUCAAAAGCUAAUGAGAUAGUAAUUGGAUUUUGUGUGGCAAUGAAAAUCAUAGUUUACAAAUAUAAAUUUUAUCACCAUUUUUUUGGUAAAAGUGCUGUGUGUUGAGGGGAGAAACUGGUCCAGUUCAAAUUCCAAGGAUAACACUGAAUUCAUAGAUUGUCCUUUGAUAGUGACAUCUGUAUCAUCUUAACCCCAAAAUAUGCUCACACCUUGUGAGGUUCUUUAAAAAAGUUAUUUAAUUUUUUUUCAUAAAAAAUCAUUUUGGAGCCAGGUGGUAGUGGCACAUGCCUUUAUUCCCAGCAUUUGGGAAGCAGAGCCAGGCAAAUCUCUGGGUUAAAGGCCGGCCUGGUCUGUAGUGUGAGUUCCAGGACACCCUAGACUACACAGAGAAACCCUGUCUCAAAAAAUAAACAAACAAAAAAAAACAAUCAAACAAAAAUAAAAUAAUUUUGAUCAUAUUUUCCUCCCCCUGUUACUCCUCGUUACUUCUGUUCUCCCUACCCACCAAAUGUUAUGUUCCUUAUCACUGAUUUUGUGUGAAAAAAGGAAAUAUAUAUUCUAGUGUAUAAUUUGACAUUUUUUUUCAGUAUUUCAUGUUGUUUUUGUAAUUACACAAAUAUAUUUCUUUACCAUCACAGAAUUCUAAUAAUAAUAUUCUGUUCAACUAUAUCCUUUAAAUUCCCAUUUGCAUUGUUUCUUUUGCAUCUUGCAUCCAUUGGAUAAUAUAUUUUGAAGCAUGGUUGUUGAACUACUUAGAGAUAUGGAUUUUGUGAAAAUUUUAGGGAAGUUUGUUGAGUAAUGAAAUAGGUGAGAGGUCAACUAAAAUAAAAACUAAUAAUUCUAAUGAUACAUGAAUAAAGGAGUCAAGAAUAUGUGUUGUCAGAAGUUAAGGGAGUAGAUUAGGGUAGAAUGAAUACAAGGUAGAACUUGAUAGAAAUUGCAAAACUGAGUUUUGCCCAAAUUGAAGUAUAUUUUUUCUGAAAGACAGUAAAUGACGAUGCCAUAAGUAAAGUUAGGAGAAAGACUGUGGAAGAUAUUCUUCUCAUUUGCAUCAGGAGAGUUGUGAACCAUAUCUCCAGAAAUACAUAGUAAAUUAUCAUUUUAUACGGGCUUAGAAAUGAGUAACUAUUAUUUAACAUAUCAGGAUUUAACCAUGCAAUGUAUGAGUUUUGUCUCUGACCUUACAUUUUCAUUUACUUCAUCUUUUACUUAUUUAUUUUUAGGAAACUAAAGAUUAUGACCUCCUAUUGACAGGUAUAGGAGUCAUUUCCCCUGGAAAAAAUAAUAUUUGCUGUUUGCUCCCUAACAAAGGAUUCAUUCUAGCCCUAUUUAUAUUCUUGUAGUUUAAAUAUUUUCUUUUUGUAGAGAGGCUGUAAAUUGGACAUUGAUUUAAAACAAUACAGGACAAAAUGUCAGCAAAGAACACUGCUUUUAAACUUUUAUAGAGAACACUGUAGUUAAACCAUUAUGUCUAACUUCAGACAUAACAUUCAUUUUUCACUUGAUGCUAUGUGUUUAUUGCUAUUUUUGACCUAAGUUUUUUUAAUGUACUUAUAUUUUUAAUUAUGUAUAUUCAUGUGUAGGUGUGUGUGGGUAUGGGUGUUUGAGUGAAGAUUCCUACCUAUAGAGAGCAGAAGAGGGUAUCAGGCCUCCAGAAGACAAAAUAUAGGUUUCUAUGAGCUGGCCAACAAGGGUGCUGGGAGAGAACGUCAGUUCCUCUCUAAGCAGAAUUUAAGCUCUUAUCCACUGACAAAUCUCUUCCAUCCUGACCUAAGUUUUUAAACUUAUUUGUCUAGGUAUCUCACCUACCAUGAUGGGUAUUUCCUAAAAAUACUUUUCAUUUGUGAGCCAGUUCAAUUAUUUAGUAAUGGAAUCCAAACAGUACUAAAGAAAUAUCUACUGAUAUGUGACAGACUGGAAAAACGUAUUUAGUAGGGCCUCAUGGGACAUACCUUUAAUCUCAGCACUCCAAAGGCAGCAGACCUCUGUGAGAUUGAGGCCAGUCUGGUCUAUACAGUGAGUUCUAGGACAGCUGGGGCUACUCAGUAGAGAAAGCAUAUCUCAAAAAACUGGAAAAUAAUAUGUUGCAAAUUAGAUAUCUAUGUCUUACUCUAUGUUUUAUUGCUAUGAAGAGACACCAUGACCAUAGCAACAGUUACAAAGGGAAACAUUUCAUUGGGGCUGGCUUACAGUUUCAGAGGUUUAUAGCAUUAAUGUCAUAUUGGGGAAAAAUAGUGUCCAGGCAGAAACAGUGCUGGGGAAGGAGCUGAGAAUUCUAAUCUUGAUCCACAGACAGCAGAAGGAGACUGUGUGCCAUACUGGAUGUAGCUUGUGCCUAGGAAUCCUCAAAACCUGCCCCACAGUGAUGCACUUCCUCCAAUAAGGCCACACCUACUCCAACAAGGUCACAACUGUUAACAGUGCCUCUCCCCAUGGGCCAAGCAUUCAAACACAUGAGUCUAUUCAAACUACCACACCACAUAACAAAAGGAAACAGGAGCUGUUUGUCAAAAAGAGAAGGAAUGGUCCUCUGUUGGGAGAUUUUUCAGAGGCUAGAAACAGCACGAUUCCCCAUAAGCAAUAUUUGACCAAAUUUGUACAGUUAUAGGUACUUUCUUGCAUUUUGAGUUGGCUUCUCCUGAACUUUAUGAGUAAAAAUAAUGUUUUUAUGAUGUUAUUACCUUUGUAAAAUUGAAUUGUCUUAGUUCAAUUUUGAGUAGUACCAGAUUUACAAAAACCAUUUCUUGUUCAUUCAUGAUUAGCUUCACUAAUAUUAUUGUGUGGGAUCCCACACUCAUUCUUCCUGUAUCUAAUGUAGAAGUUAUGGUUUGUGCAUAUUUUACUGGAUUAGUAUAUUUGGUGAGAUUUGUUGAGAAGCACUGAGACAUGAAAUACAGGUAAGAUUAAGAUGCCUUAAUGUAUAUAACUAUAUGUGUUUAGUCAUUUUUACAUUUUUCUCUCAUUCAUGUUUUUAAACAUUUGUGUUUAUACAUUUAUCGGUACAUCUUUGGUUCACUUUAUGUCUAGUAUUUUGUCUCCUUUACCCAAAAUAAAUAUAAUGAGCUCCUACUUGACAGGGAUUAUUUUUUUUUCUAUUAUAUAACACUUUUUUUUAAAGGAGAGAAGAAAUUUGGUUAAAGUUUAUUAAAUACGUAUGUGAAAGAAGGAAUGAAAAAAAAACUGUGACUAAUGCUAUAAUAUAGCAAUAAAAAAGACAGACUUAGAUUUUGAUAGAAAUGCAAUUAUGUAAAAAGUAGUGUAAUCAUUUAAUAAUUACUAACAUUUGUUAGGGUUUCAAAGAUCAUAUAAAAUGUCUUGAUUGUUUCUCUGGAGUCUUAUUUCUAUAGUUGUUUAGUGAAUUGCUAUAUAAUUCUUAUUUGUUUACAACUCCAUCUUUUCCAACCCUUCUAACCUUUGCAGAGAAUUGAGAGGGUUAUCAUAGGCAAUAGUUUUGGAUUUAAUUGAGGUUGUCAGGGAAAAGUUUCCAGGAAUAUUGUGAAACAAUGAAAGUAAAAGGGUGUUUUUGCUGUUUUUAAUGAUACUUUCAAAACCGUUUUGAGAAAUCUGAAUGCUGAGUUUUGGGACUUAGCUCUUAGUCAAAAUUUUAUAUGUAUUCUAACAUUUUCCAAUUUGUACAUUUACUUAAAUAUUAAUUUAUUAUUUAUUGAAGGACAUCUUGUAUUACAGUAUGUUAGGUGAUGUUAUUCAUCCUUACUUUCUCUCACACACUCUGCCUCUCUUACAUAAUGCACAUAGGCUUUGUCACUAUUUUAAAGUAGCCAAUUUUAAAGUUCUGUUUCACCCUCCUAUGUUCUGGGAUUGCUAAUUUGUCCCACCACACAAGCUUCUAAAUUUUUUUGUGUAUAAUUAUGUUUAAUUACAUUUAUUUCUGUCUAUGAGAAAGACUAUGUCUAAGUAUACAUAUAUCUGGCUUGCUUGGAACUCUUUGUGUAGACCAAGUUGACAUCAAACUCAUAGAGAUCUGCCUUUCUCUGCCUCCAAAUAUUGGGAUUAAAUAUCAUCCAUCUCUUUUUAUGCUAAUAUAUUCUCACAUUUAAUUCAUUAUUGAAAGAUAAAUGCAGGAUUAAUGUUAAAAUGUAUAUAGUUCUAUUUUUUAGAACUUAUUGAUUGAAAUUCUGAGAAUAUUUGAAUAAUUGUUCUUCAUCAUAACAUUUUCCCCCAAUUUAAGAGUUUCCUAGCAUCUUUGCUAUUGCAAAAUUCCUGUUAACAUUAACUUCCUUUCAUGUGAUUUUCUUCUAAUCCUUUGGGUGUUGAGUUUCUGUGUAUUUGAGCAUGACAUUGAAUUCUUGGAAAUGUGUCUAUGCUUUGGCUUUUGUGGAAAACUGAAUUAAAAUGUAAUAGUUUGUUUGAGUAGUUGGUAUAGCAGGUAGCUGUAAGAGAAGUUUUAGUUGUUAAAACAGAGUAUGAGCAAGUUAAAGUUAUUAUUUAACUAUGAAGAGUCAUUAAUUAGUUUCUGUCACUGUUUUUAUUUUCUUCAUGGUUUUGAUAAAAUGAGCUCCUUUGACAGGGAAUUAAAUUGUUGGAAGGUAUUUUGAGAAUUUAUUAUAAAAACAUUUUUUCAUACUAGUUUUGCUUUCUUAUUAAUUAAAAUAUUAAACAAUUUAAAUUGGGAAUGCCUGAGUAUUAGAAAAACGCUAAAAGUAGGAAGAAUUAAUGAGAGAAAUAUAGUUAAAAAAAAGAAAUACAGUUUUAAUUAAUUGAGAACAAAUUGACUAAAGCAGAUUUUAACAUUUAGUUUUUUUUAUCAAGUGUCACUUUUUAGAGUGAUUAUGUUGAUCAUAUAUACAAUCAUUAUUAUAUAAGUCACAUUAAUUAUUAGCAUUAUGUAAGAAACUAGAAAGAUAAAAGUCUUUCUAUAGUUAUGGCUCAUGAAUUAAUUUCCAGAAGUAUACCUAACCACAUUUUCUCUUUUAAGUUUCUAAUUUAGUGGGCAUUAUCUUUUUAUAUCUUACAAUUCAUCACAUUUAUAUGUAAGUCUUAUUUCACAGCACCAUUUGUUUUCAUCUUUAUCCCUUGAAUAGUGACUAAAGCACUUCAGUGAAAAUUACUACAGAAAAAUUAAAUUAAAGUCAAUAGUGCAUGCAACAAGUGGGUCAUAUUUAUUCUAAUUAUGUUUUAUUUUCCAAAUUUAUUCAUGUCUGUGAAAUCUGGCUCUAAAGGAUAAAUCUACAGAGAAAAGAAGAAUCUAGAAUUGUUAACUUAAAAUUAACUUGUAACUAAUUCUCAUUUUGCCAUCAAUUACUUAUUCAAAAUAUACUUAGUAUAUUAUCUGAAAGCAUCACCUAAAUCAAUUCGAAAAAAGAAUCCUAUGAGUAAGUGGAAAAGUACAUAAAUGAAUGACUCAGAAAUGAAUGACGCAUGUUAUAAAUGGCCACAAUAAUAAAAUACAUUCAAUCAUGUUCAUAUUUAUUCCUAAAUAAUUAAAUUAUAUAUAAAAUGAGAUCUAAAGGAUAAAACGAAUUUUUCUUUUUUUCACCUAUCAGAUUUGCAUAAAUAAUUGGGAACAAAAUUUUAAAAAAUUUCUGAUAAUGUUGAAAAACUUAAUUAAGUUGGAGAUAUAUGAUGAAAAUUAGCACAUUUUUGUCACCAACUUUACUUUUAGAUAAUUAGUUAUGGUAUCUAACUAGAAACUUAAAAUAUAUGUAAUAUUGAGUAUUCACAGUAAAUGAUUAUUAUGCUUGUAAUUAUUAGUUAACAUGUGAUGAGUCAUAAUUCUAUUUAUCUGCUUCAAUUUUGUUCAGUUAUUAUGAUAAGGUUUGUUCAGAUAAACUGACAAAAGUCACAGUUUGAAAAAAGUUCAUUCAUUUGUUGCUGAGUACCAGAUAUUUCUGAAGCAUUGAUGUAUUGAUUAAUAUCAAAUGUUAUAUGCCGAUUUUCAUUAUGUGAUUAAUAAACCAGUUUUAUGCAGAGAUAUUUAAAAAUA
Molecule: long non-coding RNA, 17991 nt
Organism: Meriones unguiculatus (Mongolian gerbil)
Lineage: Eukaryota; Metazoa; Chordata; Mammalia; Rodentia; Muridae
Exons: 7
Source: RefSeq, a predicted model, not a curated record